GACGAACGCUGGCGGCGUGCCUAAUACAUGCAAGUUGAGCGCUGAAGGUUGGUACUUGUACCAACUGGAUGAGCAGCGAACGGGUGAGUAACGCGUGGGGAAUCUGCCUUUGAGCGGGGGACAACAUUUGGAAACGAAUGCUAAUACCGCAUAAAAACUUUAAACACAAGUUUUAAGUUUGAAAGAUGCAAUUGCACCACUCAAAGAUGAUCCCGCGUUGUAUUAGCUAGUUGGUGAGGUAAAGGCUCACCAAGGCGAUGAUACAUAGCCGACCUGAGAGGGUGAUCGGCCCAAUUGGGACUGAGACACGGCCCAAACUCCUACGGGAGGCAGCAGUAGGGAAUCUUCGGCAAUGGACGAAAGUCUGACCGAGCAACGCCGCGUGAGUGAAGAAGGUUUUCGGAUCGUAAAACUCUGUUGGUAGAGAAGAACGUUGGUGAGAGUGGAAAGCUCAUCAAGUGACGGUAACUACCCAGAAAGGGACGGCUAACUACGUG
Molecule: ribosomal RNA, 497 nt
Filed under: uncultured bacterium
Lineage: Bacteria
Description: partial 16S ribosomal RNA
Rfam family: Bacterial small subunit ribosomal RNA
Source: RNAcentral